This 99-nucleotide ribosomal RNA is filed under the name Dysgonamonadaceae bacterium. RNAcentral's name for it is "partial 16S ribosomal RNA". It matches the Rfam family "Bacterial small subunit ribosomal RNA", at positions 1 to 96 of the family's 1533-position model. Lineage: Bacteria; Pseudomonadati; Bacteroidota; Bacteroidia; Bacteroidales; Dysgonomonadaceae. The record is from RNAcentral.
ACGAAGAAGAGUUUGAUCCUGGCUCAGGAUGAACGCUAGCGACAGGCUUAACACAUGCAAGUCGAGGGGCAACGGGGGUAGCAAUACCUGCCGGCGACC